GCGGUACCGGUUCACGCCCGUCGCGGGUCUGCCGCGGCGCGGCGACCCGGCGACC
RNAcentral lists this non-coding RNA (55 nucleotides) under unclassified sequences. RNAcentral describes it as "L31-Actinobacteria ribosomal protein leader". It matches the Rfam family "L31-Actinobacteria ribosomal protein leader". The record is from RNAcentral.